This 406-nucleotide ribosomal RNA is filed under the name uncultured bacterium. RNAcentral's name for it is "partial 16S ribosomal RNA". It matches the Rfam family "Bacterial small subunit ribosomal RNA", at positions 30 to 526 of the family's 1533-position model. The record is from RNAcentral.
AUUGAACGCUGGCGGCAGGCCUAACACAUGCAAGUCGAACGAGUGGCGGACGGGUGAGUAAUGUCUGGGAAACUGCCCGAUGGAGGGGGAUAACUACUGGAAACGGUAGCUAAUACCGCAUACCAUCGGAUGUGCCCAGAUGGGAUUAGCUAGUAGGUGGGGUAACGGCUAACCUAGGCGACGAUCCCUAGCUGGUCUGAGAGGAUGACAAGCCACACUGGAACUGAGACACGGUCCAGACGCCUACGGGAUGCAGCAGUGGGGAAUAUUGCACAAUGGGCGAAAGCCUGAUGCAGCCAUGACGCGUGGAUGAAGAAGGCCUUCGGGUUGUAAAGUACUUUCAGCGAGGAGGAGUUACUCGCAGAAGAAGCACCGGCUAACUCCGUGCCAGCCGCCGCGGUAAUAC